Molecule: ribosomal RNA, 431 nt
Filed under: uncultured bacterium
Lineage: Bacteria
Description: bacterial SSU rRNA
Rfam family: Bacterial small subunit ribosomal RNA
Source: RNAcentral
UCGAGAAUAGUCUACAAUGGACGAAAGUCUGAUAGUGCGACGCCGCGUGAACGAAGAAACCUUUCGGGGUGUAAAGUUCUUUUCUGUGCGAGCAGUGGUGGUCAGAGUAAUAUGCUGAUCACUUGGAUAUUAGUACAGGAAUAAGCCACGGCUAACUCCGUGCCAGCAGCCGCGGUAACACGGGGGUGGCAAGCGUUGUCCGGAAUUACUAGGCGUAAAGGGCAGGUAGGCGGAUUUAUAAGUCGGACGUUUAAGCCUCAGUCUCAAGCUGAGAAAUGCGUUCGAUACUGUAAUUCUUGAAUACGGUGGGGGAAGACGGAAUUCCAGGUGUAGCGGUGGAAUGCGCAGAUAUCUGGAGGAACACCGAAGGCGAAGGCAGUCUUCUAUACCGAAAUUGACGCUAAACUGCGAAGGUGUGGGGAUCAAACAGG